This 210-nucleotide unclassified non-coding RNA is filed under the name uncultured Chloroflexota bacterium. Its description in RNAcentral is "uncultured Chloroflexi bacterium contains 16S-23S intergenic spacer region". Lineage: Bacteria; Bacillati; Chloroflexota. The record is from RNAcentral.
UCCGGGUUGGACCCGGCGGUCCCGCCAGACAUCGUAACUGGCAGCGAGGGUUGCGCUCGUUGCGGGACUUAACCCAACACCUCACGGCACGAGCUGACGACAGCCAUGCAGCAUCUGUGCGCGCUCCCUUGCGGGUCCUCCCCCUUUCGGGGUCGUACCACGUGCAUGUCAAGCCCAGGUAAGGUGGGGAUGACGUAAGAGAGUACGUCC